This is a long non-coding RNA of Polistes canadensis, 400 nucleotides long. RefSeq lists it as uncharacterized. NCBI's taxonomy places the organism in Eukaryota, Metazoa, Arthropoda, Insecta, Hymenoptera, Vespidae. The transcript has 2 exons. The record is from RefSeq and is a predicted model, not a curated record.
UGGAGGAAGAGGUGGAAUAGAAGGAGGGUGGUGGGGGGAGUGGGGGGUGCGCGAAGCAUGCAGACACUCCGCGUCUCUGUUCUACUUCAGUAUGCACGCGGACAGCGAGUAGGUCGGAUAUUGUGUUCAACUGUGUGUGCGUGUGUGUGUGUUAGUGUAAUUAGUGUAUUAGUGUUCAUCUAUAUAUAUAUAUAUUUAUCACUCUUCUUUGAUUUUUUUUUUUAAUUUUCUUUUUUGAUUUAGUGUAAUUAUACAGAAGGCUGCCAAACGUAUUUCAUAUUUUGUAUUUUACAUUGAAUUAUUAUUAUCUUUGGUAGUACAAGGGGAUGAAGGUUAAUGAGAUUUAUAAAGAUCUGGAAAUUAUUUGUGGUUUCUGAUGAAAUUUUUGUAUGAUAGUAAG